This 66-nucleotide transfer RNA is filed under the name Parasa consocia. Its description in RNAcentral is "tRNA-Thr". Lineage: Eukaryota; Metazoa; Arthropoda; Insecta; Lepidoptera; Limacodidae. The record is from RNAcentral.
GUUUUUAUAAUUUAAAUAUAAAAUAUUGGUCUUGUAAAUCAAAAUUAAAAAAUUUCUUUAAAAACU